AACACUGCUGAGAGUUGCGCAAGACUUGAAAAGUAGCUUGGUUUGUUGUCUUCCUGCAUUGAACACAGAUAGACCCGUCUUCAAUUUGAUCGAUUAUUAACGUUUAAAAAUACCUAAAGUUAUAUUACAAAAGUAGUUUGAACUGUUUUGGCAAAGUUUACAGGCAACUUUUGAAAUAUUUUGUAGUGACGUUGCGCAAUUUGGAAGCUGUUUUUUUCUGGAUCAAACGCGCCAAAGAAAUUGACAUUUGGAUAUAUAUAGAUGGAAUUAAUCGAACAAAAGGACCAAUUGUGAUGCUUACGGGACAUAUUGGAGUGCCAACAAAAGAAACUCGUCAAAGAAACCAGGCCAGGGGAUGACAUAUUCACUAUGUGCUCCCAUAUCUUUCAACACCAUAACUACCACCCUGGACCCCAACAAUACCAAAUCAAAUACCAAGACCCAAAUACCAAAUCAAAUACCAAGACCCAGAACCACCACAGCGGAUCUCAUCCAACCUUCCCCACACCCCCCAACAAAACCAGUACUACAAAUCUAGAGCUGGACCCACCUACCCCCACAUCCCCCAAUAAUACCAGAACUACGAGUCUGGACAUGGGCCAUCACGUUCUGACCUUUAUUUUCCUUUGUUUUGUCAUUAUUUAGUAUGGUCAGGGCGUGAGUUGGGGUGGGCAGUCUAUGUUUGUUUUUCUAUGUUUUGGGUAUUUCUAUGUUUCGGCCCAGUAUGGUUCUCAAUCAGAGGCAGGUGUCAUUAGUUGUCUCUGAUUGAGAAUCAUACUUAGGUAGCCUGGGUUUCACUGUGUGUUUGUGGGUGAGUGUUCCUGUCUCUGUGUUUGCACCAGAUAGGGCUGUUUUGGGAUUUCACAUUUCUUGUUUUUGUAUUUAGUUGUUCAUGUGUAGUAUUUCUUAUUAAAAGAACCAUGGACACUUACCACGCCGCAUAUUGGUCCACUGAUCCUUUUCGCCUCUCCUCUUCGGAAGAAGAGGAGGAAGACCAUGACAGAAUCACCCACCUACCAAGGACCAAGCACGUGGUAAAAGACAACGACGACAGCAGCAGCAGCAACAGAGGCCAGCAUCACAGGACUCCUGGACAUGGGAGGAGAUACUGAACGGAGAGGGACCCUGGGCACAGGCUGGGGAAUAUCGCCGCCCCAAAUCCCUUACACUCCACCACAUCCCAACAAAACCAGGGCCCAGGACAUGAGCCAGACUCCUCCAGACUAGCCUACAUCACCAGAUUACAGUCUAAUAUGUGAUUAACAACAAGUGACUAGGGUUUUUUAUUGAGCCCUUCAUAAUCACACUUUAGAAGAUAUAAAUCAAAUGCACUGUGCAAUGACCAUAAUGACAUGUCCAAACUGGUUUAUAAAGUACAUUGUUUUAUUCAUUAAUUAAUGUGUUCAGUCAUUCAGUCAUUC
Molecule: long non-coding RNA, 1421 nt
Organism: Oncorhynchus tshawytscha (Chinook salmon)
Lineage: Eukaryota; Metazoa; Chordata; Actinopteri; Salmoniformes; Salmonidae
Source: Ensembl